RNAcentral lists this ribosomal RNA (451 nucleotides) under uncultured Brevundimonas sp. Its description in RNAcentral is "partial 16S ribosomal RNA". The record is from RNAcentral. Lineage: Bacteria; Pseudomonadati; Pseudomonadota; Alphaproteobacteria; Caulobacterales; Caulobacteraceae.
CACGAAGUUAGCCGGGGCUUCUUCUCCGGGUACCGUCAUUAUCGUCCCCGGUGAAAGAAUUUUACAAUCCUAAGACCUUCAUCAUUCGCGCGGCAUGGCUGCGUCAGGCUUUCGCCCAUUGCGCAAGAUUCCCCACUGCUGCCUCCCGUAGGAGUUUGGGCCGUGUCUCAGUCCCAAUGUGGCUGAUCAUCCUCUCAGACCAGCUACUGAUCGUCGCCUUGGUGAGCCUUUACCUCACCAACUAGCUAAUCAGACGCGGGCCGCUCUAAUGGCGAUAAAUCUUUCCCCCGAAGGGCACAUUCGGUAUUAGCACAAGUUUCCCUGAGUUAUUCCGAACCAAAGGCACGUUCCCACGUGUUACUCACCCGUCGCCACUAACUCCGAAGAGUUCGUUCGACUUGCAUGUGUUAGGCCUGCCGCCAGCGUUCGCUCUGAGCCAGGAUCAAACUCU